GCCGGUUUAGCUCAGUAGGGAGAGCGCCUGCCCUGUAAGCAGGAUGCGUCGGUUCGAGGCCGGCAACCGGCUCCA
Molecule: transfer RNA, 75 nt
Filed under: Planctomycetia bacterium
Lineage: Bacteria; Pseudomonadati; Planctomycetota; Planctomycetia
Description: tRNA-Thr
Rfam family: tRNA
About the family: Transfer RNA (tRNA) molecules are approximately 80 nucleotides in length. Their secondary structure includes four short double-helical elements and three loops (D, anti-codon, and T loops). Further hydrogen bonds mediate the characteristic L-shaped molecular structure. tRNAs have two regions of fundamental functional importance: the anti-codon, which is responsible for specific mRNA codon recognition, and the 3' end, to which the tRNAs corresponding amino acid is attached (by aminoacyl-tRNA synthetases). tRNAs cope with the degeneracy of the genetic code in two manners: having more than one tRNA (with a specific anti-codon) for a particular amino acid; and 'wobble' base-pairing, i.e. permitting non-standard base-pairing at the 3rd anti-codon position.
Source: RNAcentral